CCGAUUUUAGCGAGCCUGACCUUUUGGUCAUGGUCUCGCGAAAACUUUGUAUUUAAAACCCCACUCUUUAUUAUGUAAAUGAAUCAUUUAUUAUUAAUAAAUAAAGA
This 107-nucleotide unclassified non-coding RNA is filed under the name uncultured Rhizophagus. RNAcentral describes it as "sequence contains ITS1". Lineage: Eukaryota; Fungi; Glomeromycota; Glomeromycetes; Glomerales; Glomeraceae. The record is from RNAcentral.